This is a non-coding RNA of Triangularia setosa, 106 nucleotides long. The record is from the annotation of a GenBank genome assembly. Lineage: Eukaryota; Fungi; Ascomycota; Sordariomycetes; Sordariales; Podosporaceae.
GCCCGAUCAGCUCAGCUGGUUAGAGCGUCGUACUAAUACUGGGGGAGAUUCAGUAAAUAGUAGUAGUUUCAUGCGAAGGUCAAAAGUUCAAUCCUGUUACUGGGCA